CCGCCAUUGGCCAAUGAAGUUUGAGCUAUUAUUAGACAAGGUUAACGGAGGUCAAUCAGAACGAAACUUGGUAGGCAUGUUCGACUCAUGGCCCUAAAGGUCUGUAAGAAUUUUGAAAGAAAUCGGCCACUAGUUGGCGCUAACGAGUUUUUUGGCUCUGUAAUCACGUGGUGUUUCACAUAUGCAUGCAAUAUGGAUAUCAUUUGAUAGAUCUCCUCAUAAUGCACAACUUUGCCUCAAGAACCAUUACUGUCAGUCAAAUCGUUCAUGAAUUAUUCACAAAUAUGUUAAAAACAUACUUUUGCGAACUAGUCCUAGGUUUUUCGCCCGAUCGGAACCAAACCACUGCUGUAAUAUUCUGUGGACACUCUAGAUCAAUAAUUAUCGAAAAAAUGUUGAAUUUUGUUCUUUGGUUAGCUUUAAAGGGGUAAUUUAGAAAUGGGGAUUGGCCAAACAUACCCCAAAGCCUAUAAAGCCAAAACAAAUAGUCAAAACUUUAUGAAACUUGGUGAAAACAUGUGGCAGAUGACUCUGAACAAGCAUGCAAAGAUUCAUGGAGAUCGGACCAUAGGUGGCGCUAUAACAGUACAAAAGGUCUCAAAAACACAAAUUUUAUAUGGUAAAUGGCCUCAAAUUGAUUGAAAAUGCUCAUUUAUUCGCACAAACACUAGAUCUUCAUAUCGUAUGAUAGAUAUCCUCAUUCUGAACAACUUUGCCUCUGGGACCAAUGUUGUCAAUAAAACUGUUAAUUAAAUAUUAUAUAAAAUAAAUGAAAUAAGCUAAUUAACAAACUAGUUCAAGGUUUUAAGCUGAAAAUCAAUAAAACCACUUCAGUAGAAUUCUCUAGCUUAUCUAGGUCAAUAUUUAUCAAAAAAAUGUUGAACAUUUGCAUUUGGACAACUAUAAACUGGUCAUUUUCUGAUAUGUUCUUUACGUAGUGUAACCAAAGGCCUACUAAUACAAACAGAAAGCCCACAAAUUCUCAAGACUGUGUAAAAUAAUGCAUAAUUUCAUUCUAAACAAGCAUGCAAAAUUUAAGAGAGAUUG
Long non-coding RNA from Cyprinus carpio carpio, 1047 nucleotides. NCBI's taxonomy places the organism in Eukaryota, Metazoa, Chordata, Actinopteri, Cypriniformes, Cyprinidae. The record is from Ensembl.